This 400-nucleotide ribosomal RNA is filed under the name uncultured bacterium. Its description in RNAcentral is "bacterial SSU rRNA". It matches the Rfam family "Bacterial small subunit ribosomal RNA", at positions 355 to 751 of the family's 1533-position model. The record is from RNAcentral.
UAGGGAAUAUUGGGCAAUGGGCGAAAGCCUGACCCAGCCAUGCCGCGUGCAGGACGAAGGCCCUCUGGGUUGUAAACUGCUUUUUUGAGGGAAGAAAAGACUCGUUGCGACGAGAGUUGACGGUACCUUAAGAAUAAGCCACGGCUAACUACGUGCCAGCAGCCGCGGUAAUACGUAGGUGGCGAGCGUUAUCCGGAUUUAUUGGGUUUAAAGGGUGCGUAGGCGGGAGAUUAAGUCGAUGGUGAAAGGUAGCAGCUCAACUGUUUUACAUGCUGUCGAUACUGAUUUUCUUGAGUUAUUGGAAGGCAGAUAGAAUUUCUGGUGUAGCGGUGAAAUGCUUAGAUACCAGAAGGAAUACCGAUUGCGAAGGCAGUCUGCUGCAAAUAUACUGACGCUGAGG